Papaver somniferum (opium poppy) is the source of this 1824-nucleotide long non-coding RNA. RefSeq lists it as uncharacterized. The record is from RefSeq and is a predicted model, not a curated record. NCBI's taxonomy places the organism in Eukaryota, Viridiplantae, Streptophyta, Magnoliopsida, Ranunculales, Papaveraceae. The transcript has 6 exons.
GAUUAUUAUUUAUGUAAGCUUGAUUGUGGGAAUAUGUUUGUGGAAUAAUAGAGAAAACCAUGUGCACUGUAGCGCUCUUCCACAAUGAAGAUCUCAUUGCAACUUUUUUCUUUUCGUUAGGCAGUAAAAAUAUGGAAGAUGAUCUGGAUAAUCGCUACAACUCGAAUUGGGAUGCUAAAUGCAAUGGUCAAGGCCAUCGUCGGGUUGUGUUCAUUUAUCCAUCUCGAAGCUAGCACUCUACGGAGCAAGCACUCUGUUGUCUUGGUGGUACUAAUUCAAUCUUCACAGGAGGCAUGGGAACACUGGUGCCUAAUGUCCUCUACGUGGGGACUAUAGUUGUGGUUCUAAAAUUGGCUUUUCAGGGCACACCUAUCUGUUAGUAUUCCCCUCCCGGAUGAAGGUGAAGGAAAUUGAAGGUACACCUCUUGGACGAAGAUUCCCUAAAAGCUUUGCUCCGGCUCCUGAGGCUAGCACAGUGGAUCAACUGUUGCUGGAGUUGAUGUUACUCCUCCUCCAUCUUCUGCAACUGUACUUUCAACUGGAAAUGGCAAUUCAAUUAUGCAAGGGAUUGAAUUGAGAUUCUACCAAACAGCAAGGCCAGCUGCAUGACAGCGUUAGUUGAAUAAAAGUGAGUAUGAAAGAGCGGGCCAAGAGAUUUUACCAUUCAACCAUAUCCGCAUUUUUUGUUGGGAUGGGCGUAUCUCUUGGUAUUGAUGUAUUAGAAUCUCCCAUAGCAGCAAAAUAUUACCACACUGAAUAACUUCCAUACUGACUGCUAUGACGAAAACUAUUAUCCCGGAUUGAGCAGUGUCCAGACUGAUCCAAUUGCUACAACUUUGGCUUCCUCCAUAUCAAAGUAACUUUCUUUGAUUUGCGAUAAUACAUACAAGUCUUCCAUAUGUUUGAUUCACAAUUAAAUUCUAUACGUCUUGCUUAUUUUUAGGGUGUUAUGCGAAAUUGUAAAGGUAGAAAUAUUUUAAAAAAAAUGUAGGUAUGGUUUUAGUUCCGGUCAAAUAUACAUGAAUAGUCGUAUUUAUUUAGCGAUUCUUACUACUAAGCUCUUAAUGUGGUGUUGAAUUGUAGAUGGUGAUUUGUUAUUGUAGUUUGAAAGUGAUUCAUGGGGUUGCUUUUUCAAGCUUCGAACUUUAUAAAUUGUGGAGGUUGUUUGGCAUACAACUGUAUUGCGUCGGAGUAGGUCUGUGCUCCGAGUUGUCACCAAAGAAAAACCAAAUAUACAACGAAAGAGCCCUGCAAAUUCGAAGUUCUAUUUAAUUCGUUUUUUUCUUUACAUUUUUGGUAAUUCAUAUAGCUAUAUUUAGACAAUAAUUUUUGAAGAUCACAAAAGAGUUGAAAUUUAAAUUUUGUACAGGAUCAACUGCUGCUAAAUAGUAGGGUCAAUGUGAUAGGAAGCAUUUCGAACCUGUUGUACAACGGGAAGGAACCUGUUUUUCCAACAUGUUUCACGGUCCCUAAAGGUCUUGAGCUGGAUAUCAGGGCAUCGGAACAAUAGGGCUUGGCGAGAAGGCAACAGUAUAUUUUAGUAAUCAAUGCUAGAAUUUUAGCAAUUAAUACUAGAAGAAUCUCCUUUCAUGCCGAAUGAAGAAGGUUUUGACUUUUGAAGAUGUCCAGUUCAAUAUGGAAUUAGUUCACUUCAUUCAAGCACGUCUGGUGAAAUCCUUUAUUCAGGAGAAUUCUUGGCCAAGUCCUACUAUAAAACUCAGUGUGGUGACAUCCUUUCUUUUUCGACAUUAUCUAUAAUUAGCUCAUAUCUGAUAUUUUUUUCUUGGAAUAACUGGAUGUCGUAACAGCUUUUGAGGUUGUUAA